AAAAGGGUGUAUCGUUCACUGAAGAAUGCAAGGCAAUACUUCCAAUCUGGACUAGAUGUGGACUCCCACAUACCAAACGAAAGUGUCACUGAUUUGUACUACUUUGACAAGUGCACAGAUAUGCUUCCAUGCUUAUCAAAAAGACUGAAAAUGGAAGGAACAGAAGAGCAAAAAUGUGAGGAAGCAUGCCAGACUUCACGACGAGGGGCAUCGGUAGGGGUUUGGAAGCAGCCACUCUUCGGGGAGGAAAAGGAUGGGCAAGAGGUGCCUUGUUGUGAUGAUGAGGAGGAAGAGGAUGAAGAAGAAGUGCUUUGGAACAAGGGGAGGAUGAAACGCUAUCACUCGACCACUGAGAUCUACCUAGUGAUGGCAUGAAUUGAAAGAUGCGGUUUGAAUAGCAAGAAAGAAUAGACAAUACAAAG
Phragmites australis (common reed) is the source of this 422-nucleotide long non-coding RNA. RefSeq lists it as uncharacterized. The record is from RefSeq and is a predicted model, not a curated record. NCBI's taxonomy places the organism in Eukaryota, Viridiplantae, Streptophyta, Magnoliopsida, Poales, Poaceae. The transcript has 3 exons.